This 216-nucleotide ribosomal RNA is filed under the name Glomeromycotina sp. Its description in RNAcentral is "partial small subunit ribosomal RNA". The stretch from base 40 to 216 matches the Rfam family "Eukaryotic small subunit ribosomal RNA", at positions 686 to 864 of the family's 1831-position model. The record is from RNAcentral. Lineage: Eukaryota; Fungi; Glomeromycota.
GGGUCAGUAGGUUGGUCGUGCCACCGGUACGUACUGGUCUCACUGAUUCCUCCUUCCUGAAUAACCGUAAUGCCAUUAAUUUGGUGUUGCGGGGAAACAGGACUGUUACUUUGAAAAAAUUAGAGUGUUUAGAGCAAGCUAACGCUUGAAUACAUUAGCAUGGAAUAAUGAAAUAGGACGAUCGAUCCUAUUUUGUUGGUUUCUAGGAUUGACGUA